CCUACGGGGUGCAGCAGUGGGGAAUAUUGGACAAUGGGCGAAAGCCUGAUCCAGCCAUGCCGCGUGUGUGAAGAAGGCCUUCGGGUUGUAAAGCACUUUCAGUGGGGAAGAAAGCCUUGGGGCUAAUACCCUCGAGGAAGGACAUCACCCACAGAAGAAGCACCGGCUAACUCCGUGCCAGCAGCCGCGGUAAUACGGAGGGUGCGAGCGUUAAUCGGAAUUACUGGGCGUAAAGCGCGCGUAGGCGGUCUGAUAAGCCGGUUGUGAAAGCCCCGGGCUCAACCUGGGAACGGCAUCCGGUACUGUCAGGCUAGAGUGCAGGAGAGGAAGGUAGAAUUCCCGGUGUAGCGGUGAAAUGCGUAGAGAUCGGGAGGAAUACCAGUGGCGAAGGCGGCCUUCUGGACUGACACUGACGCUGAGGUGCGAAAGCGUGGGUAGCAAACAGGAUUAGAUACCCCGGUAGU
RNAcentral lists this ribosomal RNA (464 nucleotides) under Vreelandella stevensii. RNAcentral's name for it is "partial 16S ribosomal RNA". It matches the Rfam family "Bacterial small subunit ribosomal RNA", at positions 338 to 794 of the family's 1533-position model. Lineage: Bacteria; Pseudomonadati; Pseudomonadota; Gammaproteobacteria; Oceanospirillales; Halomonadaceae. The record is from RNAcentral.